RNAcentral lists this ribosomal RNA (253 nucleotides) under uncultured bacterium. Its description in RNAcentral is "partial 16S ribosomal RNA". It matches the Rfam family "Bacterial small subunit ribosomal RNA", at positions 524 to 776 of the family's 1533-position model. The record is from RNAcentral.
UACGGAGGGUGCAAGCGUUAUCCGGAUUUACUGGGUUUAAAGGGUGCGUAGGUGGGCAGUUAAGUCAGCGGUGAAAUCUCUGGGCUUAACCCAGAAACUGCCAUUGAUACUAUCUGUCUUGAAUAUCCUGGAGGUGAGCGGAAUAUGUCAUGUAGCGGUGAAAUGCUUAGAUAUGACAUAGAACACCAAUUGCGAAGGCAGCUCACUACGGGGUUAUUGACACUGAGGCACGAAAGCGGGGGGAUCAAACAGG